GCAAGAAUGCCCACUAGAUUGUGCUUGUGACCACCCGGACUGGAGAUCCCAAACUAGCUCCUUGACCGCUCUCGAAGAAGUGGAGAUCAAUGGCUUUCAAGGACACGAUCAUGAGAUCGAUUUCUUGAAACUGAUAUUCAAAUGUGCACCGAUGCUUAGAAGAAUGAUUGUGCGUUUCUCACAUGAGGUCUUAUUUCGUGAUCAUCAUGGAUGCACACAAAUACGAAACAUCUUCAGGGAAUAUUCUUCUGUGGAAUGCUAUCUUUAUCUUAGCUCUGCCUCCGCUGCAGGUUUAGAGCAUGGCAGCGACGGGUUCCCAUCAACAUGAUUCUAAGCCUUGCAUAUUUGGAUUCAUGAUGAGUGGAUGCACGCCUCUUUUAGUGCAAGUUUGAUCACUGAUGGCUGCAAAAGAUGCCAAGAAUCAUACUGGCAACUUUGGUUUCCUUGUUUGUCUAAUGCCAUCAUCUUAACAAGUUAUAAUAUUGUGAUGUUUGUAUGAAGUACUAAUGACUGCUGGACUGAUGUUAUUCUGCACUGUCAAACUCCUAGUUUUAAUGCUUCUCGUGCUAUAAGUAUUUGUUCGUGUUCGAAUGAUGAUAUAGAUUGUAGAGUGUAUCUACUAUUUGAUGCUUGGGAUCGGCUAUCUUUUUUGCCCCUGUU
Molecule: long non-coding RNA, 660 nt
Organism: Lolium rigidum
Lineage: Eukaryota; Viridiplantae; Streptophyta; Magnoliopsida; Poales; Poaceae
Exons: 3
Source: RefSeq, a predicted model, not a curated record